Molecule: transfer RNA, 83 nt
Filed under: Schistocephalus solidus
Lineage: Eukaryota; Metazoa; Platyhelminthes; Cestoda; Diphyllobothriidea; Diphyllobothriidae
Rfam family: tRNA
About the family: Transfer RNA (tRNA) molecules are approximately 80 nucleotides in length.
Source: Rfam by way of RNAcentral
GGUCUCGUAGCUCAGUUGGCUAGAGCGUUGGCUGUACUAAAGCCUUCCUCUUGCUGGCGUGGGUUCGAAUCCCACCAAGGCCA